GUUAGAGUGGCAGAGCCCGGUAAUUGCAAAAGGCCUAAGCCCUUUGGACAGAGGUUCAAGUCCUCUCCCUAACU
Molecule: transfer RNA, 74 nt
Filed under: Carangoides equula (whitefin trevally)
Lineage: Eukaryota; Metazoa; Chordata; Actinopteri; Carangiformes; Carangidae
Also listed under: 1 other name
Description: tRNA-Leu
Rfam family: tRNA
About the family: Transfer RNA (tRNA) molecules are approximately 80 nucleotides in length. Their secondary structure includes four short double-helical elements and three loops (D, anti-codon, and T loops). Further hydrogen bonds mediate the characteristic L-shaped molecular structure. tRNAs have two regions of fundamental functional importance: the anti-codon, which is responsible for specific mRNA codon recognition, and the 3' end, to which the tRNAs corresponding amino acid is attached (by aminoacyl-tRNA synthetases). tRNAs cope with the degeneracy of the genetic code in two manners: having more than one tRNA (with a specific anti-codon) for a particular amino acid; and 'wobble' base-pairing, i.e. permitting non-standard base-pairing at the 3rd anti-codon position.
Source: RNAcentral